CCGAGUUUACAACUCCCAAACCCAUGUGAAUCUUACCUUUACGUUGCUUCGGCCGGACUGCCCCGGGCGCCUUUGGUGCCCCGGAUUCAGGCGCCGGCCGGGGAACCGAAACUCUUGUUUUAUUAGUAUCUUCUCUGAGUGGAUUACACAAAUAAUCA
This 158-nucleotide unclassified non-coding RNA is filed under the name uncultured Clonostachys. RNAcentral's name for it is "sequence contains ITS1". Lineage: Eukaryota; Fungi; Ascomycota; Sordariomycetes; Hypocreales; Bionectriaceae. The record is from RNAcentral.